UUUGGUUUUCCCUGUGACAGUUGCAAGAAUUGCUGGAAUACAUGCCAGGGCCUGAUUUUCCAACUGGAGGACUGAUUAUGGGAAACCUUGGGUAAGUUGGAACCAUUCCUUCACUAUCUGAAGCAUGGUUCAUUCUAGUAAGCUUGGAUGAAAAAGGGAUAGCCUCCUCCUUGUAGUAGUUCUUUCCUUGGUUUUUACCAGUUUCUGUAUAACGUUUGAAUAGGUUGUACUAAAGGGAUGCCUUCAAAUUGAAUGUGAUGAUGGGCAGUGGUGAUAUGUCUUAUGUUGCAUACUUGCUGCUAAAUUCAUGGGCAUCUUGGAGGCAUAUCGAACUGGGAAAGGACGCAUUGUGGUCAGAGGGAAAACUGAUAUUGAAUUGCUUGAUUCUAGAACAAAGAGAAGUGCAAUUAUCAUAAAGGAGUGAUUUUAUACUUUGGGAAUGAGUCAGAUCCCUCACCAAACCAACAAAUCAGCCCUCGUGGAGAAGAUAGCCAAACUUGUGGAAAAUAAGUAUUCAUAAUGGGCAACCUAAGCAGAUGGGUCUAAAGGAGUUGCUGCAGGUGACUACCUAAGUUUAAUCUCUUUAGUAUAAAUGCCCACCCACUGACCCACUUGCUCGCUCAUGCAUAUAUGCUAUUUUAAUAUAUUUGUAGGUAAGCUAUUUCAAGAAAAUGUUUUUCUUGCUGGAAUUUGUUUUCCCUUAAGAAAUCAUUUUGUAAUUCACGCUACUUGGGCUGCUGUUUUCAUGAGUUCUUACUUGACUUUAUAUGGUUUUUUAUGUGUUAUUGUUUUUAGUACACUGCUUUGUCUCCUUUAAUGUAAGUAUUAUUUGUAGAGGAACCACAUGCACUUUUAGGUACUGACAGUUUGACUAGUGUCGUAGUGUCUUUGAAAAAAUUGACAAGAGGUGAUGCAUUGAAAUCAACUACAAUUUGGAAAGUGUUCUUGGAUAGUGACAUUCUUAUGAUUUCUUUGAACGCAUUGAAAACUUAAAAGCAGAAAGAUAUUGUCCAAAC
Non-coding RNA from Prunus avium (sweet cherry), 1016 nucleotides. The record is from RefSeq and is a predicted model, not a curated record. Lineage: Eukaryota; Viridiplantae; Streptophyta; Magnoliopsida; Rosales; Rosaceae.